This is a long non-coding RNA of Sinocyclocheilus grahami, 123 nucleotides long. RefSeq lists it as uncharacterized. Lineage: Eukaryota; Metazoa; Chordata; Actinopteri; Cypriniformes; Cyprinidae. The record is from RefSeq and is a predicted model, not a curated record. The transcript is spliced from 3 exons.
CCAUCUUGCCUCAAAAAUAUUCAUCUGAAGUCUAAGGGAAUAAGUUAUUUUUUCCAUUUCGUAAAUUUCUCAGAUCCAGUAAUUGUUUUUCUGACCAUCUUUGUAGGUCGCUAUGAAUACAUC